Molecule: ribosomal RNA, 649 nt
Filed under: uncultured Passalora
Lineage: Eukaryota; Fungi; Ascomycota; Dothideomycetes; Mycosphaerellales; Mycosphaerellaceae
Description: LSU rRNA
Rfam family: Eukaryotic large subunit ribosomal RNA
Source: RNAcentral
CAAUAAGCGGAGGAAAAGAAACCAACAGGGAUUGCUCUAGUAACGGCGAGUGAAGCAGCAAUAGCUCAAAUUUGAAAUCUGGCGUCUUCGACGUCCGAGUUGUAAUUUGUAGAGGAUGCUUCUGAGUAACCACCGACCUAAGUUCCUUGGAACAGGACGUCAUAGAGGGUGAGAAUCCCGUAUGCGGUCGGAAAGGUGCUCUAUACGUAGCUCCUUCGACGAGUCGAGUUGUUUGGGAAUGCAGCUCUAAAUGGGAGGUAAAUUUCUUCUAAAGCUAAAUAUUGGCCAGAGACCGAUAGCGCACAAGUAGAGUGAUCGAAAGAUGAAAAGCACUUUGGAAAGAGAGUUAAAAAGCACGUGAAAUUGUUAAAAGGGAAGGGAUUGCAACCAGACUUGCUCGCGGUGUUCCGCCGGUCUUCUGACCGGUCUACUCGCCGCGUUGCAGGCCAGCAUCGUCUGGUGCCGCUGGAUAAGACUUGAGGAAUGUAGCUCCCUCGGGAGUGUUAUAGCCUCUUGUGAUGCAGCGAGCGCCGGGCGAGGUCCGCGCUUCGGCUAGGAUGCUGGCGUAAUGGUCGUAAUCCGCCCGUCUUGAAACACGGACCCAAGGAGAAAUCACUAGUUGCGGGCCCGCCCUGGCAGGGGUCGNACC